AGCCCGAUCACCGUGCGGCCUGCAUCGAAACUCACAGGCGCGGCACACAAAAAGCGUGGAUGUUGUAACGCACGGCAACGGUACCUCGAGACCCUUUCGUCGAAUCUGUUUCGUCUUGCUCUCUCCCUCUCUUUACCCUCAACCUCCACCGCCCGUGGCGGACGUCGGAAUGGGCAGGAAGAAACGCGUGAGUGAUGUGGAGACGACGCCGGAGCUGAGCUUCGUGCAGGGCGGUGUCCUCAACACGAUCAUCGUCAAGGGGACAGAGGAGAUGCAGCAGAUCGCGGUGGACACCGCUGCAUUCCUCGAGGACAAGCGGGUGGUGCGUAGCACGAACAUGGAUCAGGUGACCUUCUCCCAGAAUGCCAUCUUCAAGGUCACCCUUGACUUUGCAGAGGCAAUCCCGUGCAUUCCCGAGAUCGCGGUGCGCGAGUCGACAGACUGGAUGCUGCUCAGCUGCGCCGGAAACCACGCGCACUACUCGACGGUAGACCAGCGCCUCAUACUUCAGCAGUGCAAAGCAUCCUUGCAGAGCAACAUACCGGAGCUGGAGUUUCCCAUCUGCCUUGUGCUGCGGUUUGACGAUGAUCAGUGGGUAGUCGAGCGCGCCAUUCGCUAAGAGGGCGCAGUGGUAUCUACGUGCAGUAGCCGUCCUCACCGCAGUGCGUGUGCAUGUCCUCGGUGAAUAUCUUUUUCGCCAGUUCUCCUUGCGUCCUGUCAUCUCUCUUUC
RNAcentral lists this unclassified non-coding RNA (730 nucleotides) under Leishmania donovani. RNAcentral describes it as "gene:LdHU3.31.5140(CDS-product:hypothetical_prote in_conserved)". Lineage: Eukaryota; Euglenozoa; Kinetoplastea; Trypanosomatida; Trypanosomatidae. The record is from RNAcentral.